Oncorhynchus nerka (sockeye salmon) is the source of this 270-nucleotide long non-coding RNA. RefSeq lists it as uncharacterized. The record is from RefSeq and is a predicted model, not a curated record. NCBI's taxonomy places the organism in Eukaryota, Metazoa, Chordata, Actinopteri, Salmoniformes, Salmonidae. The transcript has 3 exons.
GCUGUUGUUUGUGAGGUCAUCAGUACGCUGGUUUCCUCUGAUCCAGGCUGGAUCUUUCUACAGACUCAUCGCUCCUAACACCCAGGAUCCCAGUGUUCUGAUUGGCUGUCGUGUUGCUGGGAGGAGUGGUGUAGUGCUCCAUACGAACCCCUCCCUCCUUGUGCGCUCUGAUUGGAGGAUCCACACCCUGACCCACCCACUCCUGACCACGCCCUACUCCCAGUUUGUUUCUCAGAAGGGCAUGUCUGUGGCUGAGGUCCUGGACUGCAG